CUGCUCAGCCCACAGCAGCCCGCCUGCUCCUUCAUCUGCAGCUCCUGGGAACGGCUGAGCCGCCCUGGUGGGGCCCACGCAGGACCGGGGGCACCGAGACCCUCCAGGCCUGGGCUGAACUCUCCCCAUCCCCAUGGCACACCUGGGGCUCGUGCUGAGCUCGGACUGGGAGCAGUGACACCGUGAGAGGAGCUGGGAGCUCCGGUGCCCUAAGCAGAUAUCAUGGAAGACUGUACAGGGAGGCCUGGCCUUGGUGGUGCAGGGCCAAGCUUCUGAAACCCAGAACAUAAACACAACAGGGGAGACUUCCCACCGCCGAGGAGGGACAAUCUUCCAGCCGUGAGAGACGGGAUGGUUCAGAUUCCCGGCCGCCGCCCGCCCCGAGCAGGGGCAGCGCUCCCGGCCGCCGCCCGGGCGGAGCGGCUCCAGCGCCGCACGCAGGCUCUGCUCCAGGCUCACUGCUGCCCCGACUUCUUCUCCUUCUGGAAGCUAAAGCUUGUUCUCCUGCUCAGUUUUCUUUGUUUCUGAGCAAAAUAAUCUGCUCUGGCUGUGCUUGCUCGCGACUCUAGAAUAUAGUUAACCUGCAAGACACGAGGUGGUGUUAAUGUCACCCGAGGCCGGGGGACAGCCCGGGUGGGCAGGGACCCCCAGCCCAGCCCCUGAGCAGGGCUCUGGUCCAGCUGGUCCCAUCCGCUGGCAGGAUGAUGGCAGAGGGAGCCCAGAGUGCCAGGAGAGCCCUGGGUGUCCUCCUGUGUCCCUGCUCCCGUCCCGGGUCACCCAAACCUCUGGGGAAGGCAGGGAGCUGUGCCGACCCUCCAGUGCUGGGACAAUCAGCAAUGAGCAUCAAUAAAGGACCUUAUCAGCCUCAGAAAAAAGAAUUCUUCCAUUAUGAUGUUUGCAUACUCAGCUAAUCUCAGAGUUUCCCUGUGUUUUGGCACAUUUUACUUGAUGAAAGCAUUUUAAAAUUAUAUUUAACAAGCCUGCUACUCCCUAAAUUUAUUAUCUCCAAUGCUUUGUGAUAAUCUCAAAGAUAAUUUUAAUGGAAGGUUAAUGCAAGAAUCAAAAAGAUAAAAAUGCCCUUUGGUCUGUCAUUAGCUGGUUAAUAUGCUGUGGCUUAAAACUUGCACAAUUUUAUGCACUGUAGAGUGUUUCACUUUCAUUGCAUAUUACAGCUUAAGGCAUAAAAAUAUAGGGAAUUUUCAUGGUCAAUAAAGUCUCAGUCCUUCUCACUUGAUCAUCUAAAAAGCCUAAUUUGAAAAGUCUGAUUUUUCUGCGCUCCCUAAU
Molecule: long non-coding RNA, 1284 nt
Organism: Agelaius phoeniceus (red-winged blackbird)
Lineage: Eukaryota; Metazoa; Chordata; Aves; Passeriformes; Icteridae
Source: RefSeq, a predicted model, not a curated record